RNAcentral lists this ribosomal RNA (457 nucleotides) under Polybia quadricincta. RNAcentral describes it as "partial large subunit ribosomal RNA". The stretch from base 332 to 457 matches the Rfam family "Bacterial large subunit ribosomal RNA", at positions 2473 to 2599 of the family's 2925-position model. Lineage: Eukaryota; Metazoa; Arthropoda; Insecta; Hymenoptera; Vespidae. The record is from RNAcentral.
AGUCGUUCUGCCCAUUGAUUUUAAAAGGCUGCGGUAUAUUAACUGUACAAAGGUAGCAAAAUAAAUAGUUUUUUAAUUGAGAACUUGAAUGAAAGAGUUGAUAAAAUAUAAGUUGUUUCAAAUAUUUAAAUUAAAUUAAAAGUUAAAAUGCUUUUAUUUUUUUAUUAGACGAUAAGACCCUAAGAAUUUGAUUAUUUAUUAAAUUUUGAAAAAUUUAUUAUAUUAAAAUUAUUUUAUUGGGAGGAUAAUAAAAUGAAACUUUUAUUUAAAUAAAUAUUUAUAGAUAAAUUUAAUGAUUGUUUUUAUGAUUAUUAGGAUAAAUUACCUUAGGGAUAACAGCGUUAUAAUUUUGGAGAGUUCAUAUUGAUAAAAUUGUUUGCGACCUCGAUGUUGAAUUAAAAUAAAAUUUAAAUGAAGAAAUUUAAAAUUUUAGUCUGUUCGACUAUUAAAAUUUUAC